RNAcentral lists this ribosomal RNA (243 nucleotides) under uncultured Actinomycetales bacterium. RNAcentral describes it as "partial 16S ribosomal RNA". It matches the Rfam family "Bacterial small subunit ribosomal RNA", at positions 88 to 334 of the family's 1533-position model. Lineage: Bacteria; Bacillati; Actinomycetota; Actinomycetes; Actinomycetales. The record is from RNAcentral.
UACUCGAGUGGCGAACGGGUGAGUAACACGUGGGUGAUCUGCCCUGCACUUCGGGAUAAGCUUGGGAAACUGGGUCUAAUACCGGAUAGGAGCCAUCUUUAGUGUGGUGGUUGGAAAGUUUUUUCGGUGUAGGAUGAGCUCGCGGCCUAUCAGCUUGUUGGUGGGGUAAUGGCCUACCAAGGCGGCGACGGGUAGCCGGCCUGAGAGGGUGUACGGCCACAUUGGGACUGAGAUGCGGCCCAG